UUAAUCCUACGGGGGGCAGCAGUGAGGAAUAUUGGUCAAUGGGCUUACGCCUGAACCAGCCAAGUCGCGUGAGGGAAGACUGCCCUAUGGGUUGUAAACCUCUUUUGCCGGGGAGCAAGGGCGGGGACGUGUCCCGGCCCGGAGAGUACCCGGAGAAAAAGCAUCGGCUAACUCCGUGCCAGCAGCCGCGGUAAUACGGAGGAUGCGAGCGUUAUCCGGAUUUAUUGGGUUUAAAGGGUGCGUAGGCGGGCAUUUAAGUCAGCGGUAAAAAUUCGGGGCUCAACCCCGUCCGGCCGUUGAAACUG
Molecule: ribosomal RNA, 305 nt
Filed under: uncultured bacterium
Lineage: Bacteria
Description: bacterial SSU rRNA
Rfam family: Bacterial small subunit ribosomal RNA
Source: RNAcentral